GCCGCGGUGGCGGAAUUGGUAUACGCGCUUGACUUAGGAUCAAGUGGAGCAAUCCUUGAGAGUUCGAGUCUCUCCCGCGGCA
RNAcentral lists this transfer RNA (82 nucleotides) under Deltaproteobacteria bacterium CG_4_9_14_0_2_um_filter_42_21. RNAcentral's name for it is "tRNA-Leu". It matches the Rfam family "tRNA". Rfam says of the family: Transfer RNA (tRNA) molecules are approximately 80 nucleotides in length. The record is from RNAcentral. Lineage: Bacteria; Deltaproteobacteria. RNAcentral also lists the same sequence under 1 other name.